UGGCUCAGGACGAAUGCUGGCGGCGUGCUUCAUACAUGCAAGUCGUACGAGAAAGCUUCUUCGGAAAGUGAGUAAAGUGGCGAACGGGUGCGUAACACGUGGGUAAUCUGCCUUGAAGUCUGGAAUAACCUUCCUAACGGGGGGCUAAUACUGGAUGAUUUUGAAGAUUGGCAUCUUUUUUCAAAUAAAGAUGGCGUGAUGAGCGCUGUCACUUCAAGAUGAGCCCGCGGCCUAUUAGUUAGUUGGUAGGGUAAUGGCCUACCAAGGCGACGAUGGGUAGCCGGCCUGAGAGGGUGACCGGCCACAUUGGGACUGAGAUACGGCCCAGACUCCUACGGGAGGCAGCAGUAGGGAAUUUUGCGCAAUGGGCGAAAGCCUGACGCAGCAACGCCGCGUGAGUGAUGAAGGCCUUCGGGUCGUAAAGCUCUGUCAGAUGGGAAGAACCCGGAUCGUGUUAAUAGCUCGAUCCGCUGACGGUACCAUCAGAGGAAGCUCCGGCUAACUCCGUGCCAGCAGCCGCGGUAAUACGGAGGGAGCAAGCGUUGUUCGGAUUUACUGGGCGUAAAGAGCGCGUAGGCGGCUUAGUAAGUCAGAUGUGAAAACUGCCGGCUUAACCGGACAGACUGCAUUUGAUACUGCUGAGCUUGAGUUCAGGAGAGGAGAGCGGAAUUCCCAGUGUAGCGGUGGAAUGCGUAGAUAUUGGGAAGAACACCAGUGGCGAAGGCGGCUCUCUGGACUGAUACUGACGCUGAGGUGCGAAAGCCAGGGGAGCAAACAGGAUUAGAUACCCUGGUAGUCCUGGCUGUAAACGAUGGGCACUAGGUGUUGGGGGUUUCCAUACCUCCGGUGCCGCAGCUAACGCAUUAAGUGCCCCGCCUGGGGAGUACGGCCGCAAGGCUGAAACUCAAAGGAAUUGACGGGGGCCCGCACAAGCGGUGGAGCAUGUGGUUUAAUUCGAAGCAACGCGAAGAACCUUACCCGGGCUUGACAUAUAGGUGCAAGCUCUAGAGAUAGAGGCCUCCUUCGGGACGCCUAUACAGGUGCUGCAUGGCUGUCGUCAGCUCGUGUCGUGAGAUGUUGGGUUAAGUCCCGCAACGAGCGCAACCCUUGUCCAUUGUUGCCAGCGAGUAAUGUCGGGGACUCUAUGGAGACUGCCGGUGAUAAACUGGAGGAAGGUGGGGACGACGUCAAGUCAUCAUGGCCCUUACGUCCGGGGCUACACACGUGCUACAAUGGUCGGUACAGAGGGCAGCUAAACCGCGAGGUCAAGCUAAUCCCAAAAAACCGGUCUAAGUUCGGAUUGAAGUCUGCAACUCGACUUCAUGAAGUUGGAAUCGCUAGUAAUCGCGGAUCAGCUAUGCCGCGGUGAUACGUUCCCGGGCCUUGUACACACCGCCCGUCACGCCAUGGAAGCUGAGGGUACCCGUAGUCGCUGACCCAACCGCAAGGAGGGAGGCG
RNAcentral lists this ribosomal RNA (1458 nucleotides) under uncultured organism. Its description in RNAcentral is "bacterial SSU rRNA". It matches the Rfam family "Bacterial small subunit ribosomal RNA". The record is from RNAcentral.